This 759-nucleotide long non-coding RNA is filed under the name Homo sapiens (human). Its description in RNAcentral is "HSALNT0216575". The record is from RNAcentral. Lineage: Eukaryota; Metazoa; Chordata; Mammalia; Primates; Hominidae.
GCUGUUUCUGCACAGUGUCUUCUAUGUGAUGUCCCGGCAAAGAGUCAGACACCAGGAUAACUCACUGCCUGUGAGUUGGGAAAAAAAGGUUGAUCCAAAGCUGGUCAUGGAGCAGGCCGACCGUGAGAGCAGCAGAGGGAAGAACACCUUUCUCUACCAGCUCCACAAACUGGUUGUGCUCGGCACCUGAGCAUGUCCACAGGUGGCCUCCAGCACACCCCUCAGGAAGCUGUGGAGGCUGGAUUCCAGGCUCCCUCCGCAGACUGACUUUCCUCUGUGUCUGGGUGUUACAGUCUGUGCCCACUGCAUCCUAAAGGCCUUUUCUUUCUUCUUUUCUCUUUGGGUGAUAGUCAGAGAGUGGUGUUUUUGUUCAGGUGGGAAGGAUUGGAAACUCUAGUCUUUUCUAGAAACAGAAAAUCACUGUAUUAAAUAUUUUGGAAAGAUUGUUCUGAAAGAAGUCUGUUUGGAUAAAGAGCUGUAUUUUGCUUUAAAUUUAUUAAGGUAAAUAUAAGUAGUUAAUCUUAGAUGUAAGGUUCCAGAAUGUGCUUACAUAUUCUGUUCUGUUACAGUGAUUUAAACCAGUAGUAUAGGAAAAAACUUAAAAAAACAAAAAAACCAUGUAGUAUUUUCUGAUUUUUUUUUCCAUGAGGGAAAAUAUCUAAUUUUUAUAAGACUAAGUUGAGUUAUACUUCUUGGUUCACAUUUUGGAAAUCAGAGAUUACAGAUUACAUGGCCAUAGCUUAUCUGUGUUAAAACAAU